UAUCUUUAUUUUUGUNCAUUANAUUAUAAUUUUUUAUAUUUUUUUGUUUUUCUUAUUAUUAUCUUGAGAUAUAAGAAUUAAAAUUUUAAGUGAGGUUUAAUUAAAUUUUCGGUGGCACAGAAUCGGAGGCCCCGACUGUUUACUAAAAACACAACACAGUGCAAUCAUUAAUAUGGUAGUAUACUGUGUGAAAUUUGCCCAAUGCCAUUAAUAUAAGAAAAGUUAUGGUCUCAANACUGUGACUAAUCGAAAAUCUGGUUAAUAGCGGUCUUAACUAUGAGGAUCCUAAGGUANCAAAAUCAGUUGGCCAUUAAAUGUGGUCCGGUAUCAAUAAUGUAACGAUGGUCUCACUGUCUCUACAACUUGCUCAGUGAAAUUGAAUUACGCGUGCAGAUGCGCGUUGCCUCCNGGGGGACGGGAA
Molecule: ribosomal RNA, 421 nt
Filed under: Phlegmacium ponderosum
Lineage: Eukaryota; Fungi; Basidiomycota; Agaricomycetes; Agaricales; Cortinariaceae
Description: Cortinarius ponderosus partial large subunit ribosomal RNA
Rfam family: Bacterial large subunit ribosomal RNA
Source: RNAcentral